Molecule: long non-coding RNA, 286 nt
Filed under: Salvia miltiorrhiza (redroot sage)
Lineage: Eukaryota; Viridiplantae; Streptophyta; Magnoliopsida; Lamiales; Lamiaceae
Description: long non-coding RNA (SMIL_LNC012757)
Source: RNAcentral
CUUGUCUCUGCGCAAAUUUUCGUCUGACCGGAUCUCCUGGUGCUGGGUAACUCUUGACGAAUGAAGCCCAAGUUGGAUAAAUUCCAUCUGUCAGAUAGUAUCCUUUGUUAUACAUCCGACCAUUCACCGUGAAUUGAACUGGUGGGGCAUUUCCCUGAAGGAAUUGAUUAAAUAAUGGAGAUCCAUGAAGAACAUUGAUAUCAUUGCUUGCUCCGGCGACGCCAAAGAAAGCAUGCCAUAUCCACAAAUCUGCCGAUGCCACCGCUUCAAGAACUAUUGUAGGAAC